This 441-nucleotide ribosomal RNA is filed under the name Pseudomonas aeruginosa. Its description in RNAcentral is "bacterial SSU rRNA". It matches the Rfam family "Bacterial small subunit ribosomal RNA", at positions 36 to 477 of the family's 1533-position model. Lineage: Bacteria; Pseudomonadati; Pseudomonadota; Gammaproteobacteria; Pseudomonadales; Pseudomonadaceae. The record is from RNAcentral.
GGUUCCAGUCAAGCCUUACACAUGCAGUCGAGCGGAUGAGGGAGCUUGCUCCUGGAUUCAGCGGCGGACGGGUGAGUAAUGCCUAGGAAUCUGCCUGGUAGUGGGGGAUAACGUCCGGAAACGGGCGCUAAUACCGCAUACGUCCUGAGGGAGAAAGUGGGGGAUCUUCGGACCUCACGCUAUCAGAUGAGCCUAGGUCGGAUUAGCUAGUUGGUGGGGUAAAGGCCUACCAAGGCGACGAUCCGUAACUGGUCUGAGAGGAUGAUCAGUCACACUGGAACUGAGACACGGUCCAGACUCCUACGGGAGGCAGCAGUGGGGAAUAUUGGACAAUGGGCGAAAGCCUGAUCCAGCCAUGCCGCGUGUGUGAAGAAGGUCUUCGGAUUGUAAAGCACUUUAAGUUGGGAGGAAGGGCAGUAAGUUAAUACCUUGGUGUUUUGA